AAGGAUCAUUACAGAGUUGAGGUGGCUCCGCGGCGAGGUCCUUCGGGGCUCGAGUCGCGUGGUCAUGCUCCUCACCACCCGUGUUUACCUUACCUGUUGCUUCGGCGGGCCCGCCGCUUGUCGGCCGCCGGGGGACGUUUGUCCCCGGGCCCGUGCCCGCCGAAGACCCCCCGAACACUGCCUGAAGGUUGCUGUCUGAGUGGUCGAAAUAAACAAAACAAAACUUUCAACAACGGAUCUCUUGGUUCCG
This 250-nucleotide unclassified non-coding RNA is filed under the name uncultured fungus. RNAcentral's name for it is "partial contains 18S rRNA, ITS1, 5.8S rRNA, ITS2 and 28S rRNA". Lineage: Eukaryota; Fungi. The record is from RNAcentral.